This 500-nucleotide ribosomal RNA is filed under the name uncultured bacterium. Its description in RNAcentral is "partial 16S ribosomal RNA". It matches the Rfam family "Bacterial small subunit ribosomal RNA", at positions 29 to 523 of the family's 1533-position model. The record is from RNAcentral.
AUUGAACGCUGGCGGCAUGCCUUACACAUGCAAGUCGAACGGCAGCACGGGAGCAAUCCUGGUGGCGAGUGGCGAACGGGUGAGUAAUAUAUCGGAACGUGCCCAGUCGUGGGGGAUAACGCAGCGAAAGCUGUGCUAAUACCGCAUACGAUCUAAGGAUGAAAGAGGGGGAUCGCAAGACCUCGCGCGAUUGGAGCGGCCGAUAGCAGAUUAGCGAGUUGGUGGGGUAAAGGCCCACCAAGGCGACGAUCUGUAGCUGGUCUGAGAGGACGACCAGCCACACUGGAACUGAGACACGGUCCAGACUCCUACGGGAGGCAGCAGUGGGGAAUUUUGGACAAUGGGCGCAAGCCUGAUCCAGCAAUGCCGCGUGCAGGAUGAAGGCCUUCGGGUUGUAAACUGCUUUUGUACGGAACGAAACGGCCCUUUCUAAUACAGGGGGCUAAUGACGGUACCGUAAGAAUAAGCACCGGCUAACUACGUGCCAGCCGCCGCGGUAA